CUGUGAGUGCCGCCGAGGAAUCAAUUAAAGUUGAUUUGGCAUAUCUGCGUUUGACAAAUAUAAAGAAAUCUCUGAUUAGGCAGAGAAGAAAAGAAGCUUUUCCUUUCUUGCUCUCUCUUCCUCUCUCUUUCCUCUGCCUCUUCCUCUCUUCUCCUCAUUUCCCUUUAAAGGCAGUAGGUGUCAGAAGGGGGUGGGUAGUGAUAUGCAAAACACGGCCUCCAUAACCAAAGUAGCCUGCAAAAUUAGGUGUCAGCAUGCAAAGCUUAUUGAUGUAUGAAUGCGGAAAAUGAAAGGUGGCAGUAGACAGCCGGGGCUAAAGGUGAGACAGGCACAGCAAGAGCAGCUGUAGAUCCACGUCAAGGUGUUGCUAUAUGAGCUCGGGUUUUUUCUGGAGGGCCACAGCCUAACAAGCUGUAGGUCCAGGUGACACAGGACAUUUUGUACCUUCAUGGAGUUUCAUACACUCAGAGAGAAGGGGAAAAUAAGUCUACACGGACCUGGCCACUGUUGGAUUUUGAAGACCUCAGAGGUAUUGAGUUUUGAAAAGAAGAGCAACAGAUGGCACAGAUAUAUCUGGGAGAAAGGUACAACUGGGGUGAAUUUCACUGCAGAGGAAUUUCUUGACUUGCAUCAGACUCUUUGAAAGAUCCCUGACCAAGGCUUGGAAAUGUACUGCUCCAGGGACCACUGACUCUCCACAACUGAUCAGAGCUGGUAGCUCCCCAGAACUGGGCAUCAUGGUGGUACUGCCUUGAUUCCAAGCAGUUGGAGAAUGUUGACCCUGCCUCUGUGUUCCUGCCUCUCCACUGUUCUGCAAUCCCGGAUCACUUUCUGUGCCUUCUGAAU
This 846-nucleotide long non-coding RNA is filed under the name Chinchilla lanigera (long-tailed chinchilla). RNAcentral describes it as "lncRNA (ENSCLAG00000025654.1)". The record is from RNAcentral. Lineage: Eukaryota; Metazoa; Chordata; Mammalia; Rodentia; Chinchillidae.